UUCGUAGGCGGAAAGAUAAGUCAGUGGUGAAAGCCUGUGGCUCAACCAUAGAAUUGCCAUUGAUACUGUCUUUCUUGAGUACACAUGAAGUGGGCGGAAUGUGUCGUGUAGCGGUGAAAUGCUUAGAUAUGACACAGAACACCGAUUGCGAAGGCAGCUCACUAAAGUGUAACUGACGCUGAGGAACGAAAGCGUGGGGAGCGAACAGGAUUAGAUACCCUGGUAGUCC
RNAcentral lists this ribosomal RNA (229 nucleotides) under uncultured bacterium. RNAcentral's name for it is "partial 16S ribosomal RNA". It matches the Rfam family "Bacterial small subunit ribosomal RNA", at positions 568 to 796 of the family's 1533-position model. The record is from RNAcentral.